CACACGACUCUCGGCAACGGAUAUCUCGGCUCUUGCAUCGAUGAAGAACGUAGCGAAAUGCGAUACCUGGUGUGAAUUGCAGAAUCCCGUGAACCAUCGAGUCUUUGAACGCAAGUUGCGCCCGAGGCCACUCGGUCGAGGGCACGCCUGCUUGGGCGUCACGC
RNAcentral lists this ribosomal RNA (164 nucleotides) under Bromus secalinus (rye brome). Its description in RNAcentral is "5.8S ribosomal RNA". It matches the Rfam family "5.8S ribosomal RNA". Rfam says of the family: 5.8S ribosomal RNA (5.8S rRNA) is a component of the large subunit of the eukaryotic ribosome. It is transcribed by RNA polymerase I as part of the 45S precursor that also contains 18S and 28S rRNA. RNAcentral also lists the same sequence under 14 other names. The record is from RNAcentral. Lineage: Eukaryota; Viridiplantae; Streptophyta; Magnoliopsida; Poales; Poaceae.